This 670-nucleotide long non-coding RNA is filed under the name Heterocephalus glaber (naked mole-rat). RNAcentral describes it as "lncRNA (ENSHGLG00100036046.1)". The record is from RNAcentral. Lineage: Eukaryota; Metazoa; Chordata; Mammalia; Rodentia; Bathyergidae.
AGGAGGGAGCGUGUGCCGCUGUGGGCACUGUGUCCUCUGAGUUCCGGAGCUGGACCAGAGAGGAUGUGCUGUCUUAUUUAAAGGUGAUGUGUGACAAGAACCUGGUGUGGGAUAGAUGUUUGUGUGGAAUCCGUGGAGAGAAGAAAUUCAGGUGCAGCCUCGUGACAGUUGUCUGGAGAAGUUUCUUGGAAAUUUAUGAGACUUUCAAAACACAAACUGCUCGGAGCCGAGCCGACCUGCUGGAGACUGGGAGAAUCAGAGGCAGGUCUGACCUGGAGCCCAACAACAUGACGACCCCGGUCCUUGCACAUGGAGUGGCUCCUGCCAGUGGGGCUCACCAGCAGCACUGACCUUCCAGGUUGCCCCCAGGUUAGCAGGAGCAGGUUGCUCCAAAAGAUAAAUGUCCCUCUCAGGCUGGGGAUUUAGCUCAGUGGUUCCGCCACCUGCCUCGCAAGUGGAAGGUCCGGAGUUCGAUCCCCAGUACCAAAAAAAAAAAGAAAAGUGUUCCUCUCCUCCUGGGAAGAAGGGAGGUCAGAGACCAUAAUUAGAAUAACAAUGCAUGCUCCUUUCUUCCUUGUUUCCUUCUACAGUUCUGUAUUUGAGCAGACCCCUCCCCAAAGCCCUAUCAAGCUAUCUGUAAAGAAAUUGAUUAAACAGUUUAAGAGCUGGC